RNAcentral lists this ribosomal RNA (1459 nucleotides) under Escherichia coli. RNAcentral's name for it is "bacterial SSU rRNA". It matches the Rfam family "Bacterial small subunit ribosomal RNA". Lineage: Bacteria; Pseudomonadati; Pseudomonadota; Gammaproteobacteria; Enterobacterales; Enterobacteriaceae. The record is from RNAcentral.
GCUGACGAGUGGCGGACGGGUGAGUAAUGUCUGGGAAACUGCCUGAUGGAGGGGGAUAACUACUGGAAACGGUAGCUAAUACCGCAUAACGUCGCAAGACCAAAGAGGGGGACCUUCGGGCCUCUUGCCAUCGGAUGUGCCCAGAUGGGAUUAGCUUGUUGGUGGGGUAACGGCUCACCAAGGCGACGAUCCCUAGCUGGUCUGAGAGGAUGACCAGCCACACUGGAACUGAGACACGGUCCAGACUCCUACGGGAGGCAGCAGUGGGGAAUAUUGCACAAUGGGCGCAAGCCUGAUGCAGCCAUGCCGCGUGUAUGAAGAAGGCCUUCGGGUUGUAAAGUACUUUCAGCGGGGAGGAAGGGAGUAAAGUUAAUACCUUUACUCAUUGACGUUACCCGCAGAAGAAGCACCGGCUAACUCCGUGCCAGCAGCCGCGGUAAUACGGAGGGUGCAAGCGUUAAUCGGAAUUACUGGGCGUAAAGCGCACGCAGGCGGUUUGUUAAGUCAGAUGUGAAAUCCCCGGGCUCAACCUGGGAACUGCAUCUGAUACUGGCAAGCUUGAGUCUCGUAGAGGGGGGUAGAAUUCCAGGUGUAGCGGUGAAAUGCGUAGAGAUCUGGAGGAAUACCGGUGGCGAAGGCGGCCCCCUGGACGAAGACUGACGCUCAGGUGCGAAAGCGUGGGGAGCAAACAGGAUUAGAUACCCUGGUAGUCCACGCCGUAAACGAUGUCGACUUGGAGGUUGUGCCCUUGAGGCGUGGCUUCCGGAGCUAACGCGUUAAGUCGACCGCCUGGGGAGUACGGCCGCAAGGUUAAAACUCAAAUGAAUUGACGGGGGCCCGCACAAGCGGUGGAGCAUGUGGUUUAAUUCGAUGCAACGCGAAGAACCUUACCUGGUCUUGACAUCCACGGAAGUUUUCAGAGAUGAGAAUGUGCCUUCGGGAACCGUGAGACAGGUGCUGCAUGGCUGUCGUCAGCUCGUGUUGUGAAAUGUUGGGUUAAGUCCCGCAACGAGCGCAACCCUUAUCCUUUGUUGCCAGCGGUCCGGCCGGGAACUCAAAGGAGACUGCCAGUGAUAAACUGGAGGAAGGUGGGGAUGACGUCAAGUCAUCAUGGCCCUUACGACCAGGGCUACACACGUGCUACAAUGGCGCAUACAAAGAGAAGCGACCUCGCGAGAGCAAGCGGACCUCAUAAAGUGCGUCGUAGUCCGGAUUGGAGUCUGCAACUCGACUCCAUGAAGUCGGAAUCGCUAGUAAUCGUGGAUCAGAAUGCCACGGUGAAUACGUUCCCGGGCCUUGUACACACCGCCCGUCACACCAUGGGAGUGGGUUGCAAAAGAAGUAGGUAGCUUAACCUUCGGGAGGGCGCUUACCACUUUGUGAUUCAUGACUGGGGUGAAGUCGUAACAAGGUAACCGUAGGGGAACCUGCGGUUGGAUCACCUCCUUACCUUAAAGAA